Molecule: transfer RNA, 87 nt
Filed under: Felis catus (domestic cat)
Lineage: Eukaryota; Metazoa; Chordata; Mammalia; Carnivora; Felidae
Rfam family: tRNA
About the family: Transfer RNA (tRNA) molecules are approximately 80 nucleotides in length. Their secondary structure includes four short double-helical elements and three loops (D, anti-codon, and T loops).
Source: Rfam by way of RNAcentral
GCCUGGGUGGCUCAGUCGGUUGGGCAUCUGACUUUGGCUCAGGUCGUGAUCUCACGGUUCGAGUGGGUUCGAGCCCCGCGUCGGGCU